This 67-nucleotide transfer RNA is filed under the name Phelsuma ornata (ornate day gecko). Its description in RNAcentral is "tRNA-Cys". Lineage: Eukaryota; Metazoa; Chordata; Lepidosauria; Squamata; Gekkonidae. The record is from RNAcentral.
AAGCCCCGGCACCUUUUACUGUGCUUCUUCAAAUUUGCAUUUUGCUGUGCGAUCANCUCCUGGGCUU